CCUACGGGGGGCAGCAGUGGGGAAUAUUGCACAAUGGGGGAAACCCUGAUGCAGCAACGCCGCGUGAGCGAUGAAGGCCUUCGGGUCGUAAAGCUCUGUCCUAAGGGAAGAAUACUGACGGUACCUUAGGAGGAAGCCCCGGCUAACUACGUGCCAGCAGCCGCGGUAAUACGUAGGUGGCUAGCGUUAUCCGGAAUUACUGGGCGUAAAGGGUGCGGAGGCGGCCCUUCAAGUCAGAGGUGAAAGGCUACGGCUCAAACGUAGUAAGACUUUGAAACAGUAGGGCUGGAGUGCAGGAGAGGAGGGAGGAAAUCCCAGUGUGACGGUGAAAUGCGUAGAUAUUGGGAUGAGCCCCAGAGGCGAAGGCGGCUAUCUGGAAUGUAACUGACGCUUAGGCACGAAAGCGUGGAGAGCGAACAGGAUUAGAUACCCUUGUAGAC
RNAcentral lists this ribosomal RNA (440 nucleotides) under uncultured bacterium. Its description in RNAcentral is "bacterial SSU rRNA". It matches the Rfam family "Bacterial small subunit ribosomal RNA", at positions 338 to 795 of the family's 1533-position model. The record is from RNAcentral.